Long non-coding RNA from Drosophila montana, 889 nucleotides. RefSeq lists it as uncharacterized. NCBI's taxonomy places the organism in Eukaryota, Metazoa, Arthropoda, Insecta, Diptera, Drosophilidae. The transcript has 2 exons. The record is from RefSeq and is a predicted model, not a curated record.
CUAUGGAAAAUGUUUUUUAUUUUUAAGAUAUCUUGACCAAACUCGGCAUUUAUAUUUACUAUGCCUCGUACAUUUAUACUGCGGAAGAAUAAAGCGUAGACAACAGUGAAACGAGCAAAACUGGCAGCUAAAUUAACUACAGCCAGCCCAGCGAAAUAACACAUUCAAAUUCUGGAGUGUACCAAAGGGAGCUCACGUCUCACCAAGACGGUGACCUUCCGCCAGCCGAUCGAGUGAUAGACAUAAUAAACGUCUUUAUAGAGGCUUGGGUUUUGCAUUCGCUUAGGGCUUGUGCCAUAAAAUGUUGACCUGGAAGAGGGUAACGAGCAGAAAAUUGAAAAUACGAGACUGCCGCUAAAAAGAAAUGCAAAUGGGCAUAAAAUUAGUAAGGCCAUUCUGCGGAUGUGACCAAAGCAGUCAUUCGGCGGAUGGCCUUGACACACACACACAAAUACGCAACCGAAAUGGCGUAGCACAAAGAAUUUGGCCUUUAUUUAGCCAAAUAAGAAGAUAAAAACACAGUACAACCGGCUAGGAAGCAUGAAAAAUGGCAGCUGCUCAUUUGGCUGUAAUUUAGUGUUGAGCAGGACUAUGAUUGAUAACCGAGCGGACAGCAUGGCUAAAAAAGGGCCCUGCUGCUAGACAUAAUAUACUCAAAUUUACAUUUGCCAAAUUUGUCAUGUGCUUGUUGCCUCCGCACAUUCUUAGGCCACUUUAAAGUUCCCCUAAAAUUCGGACAACUCACCUGCAUAAAUUGUGAUAAUAGCAGUUUGCAUAACGAAUACUGCCAACAGAAUUGCCAAUAUUUGCGUGUGUGAACUGCUUCAACGUUUGGCCAACUCACAUUCCGUUAGUAAAUAAUUUUAUUUCAAAUACAAAUGAACAUUUA